This 440-nucleotide ribosomal RNA is filed under the name uncultured bacterium. RNAcentral describes it as "partial 16S ribosomal RNA". It matches the Rfam family "Bacterial small subunit ribosomal RNA", at positions 338 to 795 of the family's 1533-position model. The record is from RNAcentral.
CCUACGGUAGGCAGCAGUGGGGAAUAUUGCACAAUGGGGGGAACGCUGAUGCAGCGACGCCGCGUGAGUGAAGAAGUAUUUCGGUAUGUAAAGCUCUAUCAGCAGGGAAGAAAAUGACGGUACCUGACUAAGAAUCCCCGUCUAACUACGUGCCAGCAGCCGCGGUACUACGUAGGGGGCAAGCGUUAUCCGGAUUUACUGGGUGUAAAGGGAGCGCAGACGGCUUUGCAAGUCUGUAGUGAAAGGUGGGGGCCCAACCCCCAGACUGCUCUGGAAACGGUAAAGCUGGAGUGCAGGAGAGGUAAGCGCAAUGCGUGGUGUAGCGGUGAAAUGCGGAGAUAUCAGGCAGAACACCAGUGGCGAAGGCGACUUACUGGACUGUAACUGACGUUGAGGCUCGAAAGCGUGGGGAGCAAACAGGAUUAGAUACCCUUGUAGUC